Molecule: ribosomal RNA, 772 nt
Filed under: Enterobacter sp.
Lineage: Bacteria; Pseudomonadati; Pseudomonadota; Gammaproteobacteria; Enterobacterales; Enterobacteriaceae
Description: bacterial SSU rRNA
Rfam family: Bacterial small subunit ribosomal RNA
Source: RNAcentral
UGCAAGUCGAACGGUAGCACAGAGAGCUUGCUCUCGGGUGACGAGUGGCGGACGGGUGAGUAAUGUCUGGGAAACUGCCUGAUGGAGGGGGAUAACUACUGGAAACGGUAGCUAAUACCGCAUAACGUCGCAAGACCAAAGAGGGGGACCUUCGGGCCUCUUGCCAUCAGAUGUGCCCAGAUGGGAUUAGCUAGUAGGUGGGGUAACGGCUCACCUAGGCGACGAUCCCUAGCUGGUCUGAGAGGAUGACCAGCCACACUGGAACUGAGACACGGUCCAGACUCCUACGGGAGGCAGCAGUGGGGAAUAUUGCACAAUGGGCGCAAGCCUGAUGCAGCCAUGCCGCGUGUAUGAAGAAGGCCUUCGGGUUGUAAAGUACUUUCAGCGGGGAGGAAGGUGUUGUGGUUAAUAACCGCAGCAAUUGACGUUACCCGCAGAAGAAGCACCGGCUAACUCCGUGCCAGCAGCCGCGGUAAUACGGAGGGUGCAAGCGUUAAUCGGAAUUACUGGGCGUAAAGCGCACGCAGGCGGUCUGUCAAGUCGGAUGUGAAAUCCCCGGGCUCAACCUGGGAACUGCAUUCGAAACUGGCAGGCUAGAGUCUUGUAGAGGGGGGUAGAAUUCCAGGUGUAGCGGUGAGAUGCGUAGAGAUCUGGAGGAAUACCGGUGGCGAAGGCGGCCCCCUGGACAAAGACUGACGCUCAGGUGCGACAGCGUGGGGAGCAGACAGGAUUAGAUACUCUGGUAGUCCACGCCGUACACGAUGUCGACUUG